Long non-coding RNA from Nerophis ophidion (straightnose pipefish), 862 nucleotides. RefSeq lists it as uncharacterized. The transcript has 3 exons. The record is from RefSeq and is a predicted model, not a curated record. NCBI's taxonomy places the organism in Eukaryota, Metazoa, Chordata, Actinopteri, Syngnathiformes, Syngnathidae.
UUUAAAAUUGUCUUUCUGAAAGUUAUUAGAAGCAAAGUAAAAAGAUAAAUGAAUUUAUUUGAACAAGUGAAGACCAAGUCUUUAAAAUAUUUUCUUGGAUUUUCAAAUUCUAUUUGAGUUUUGUCUCUCUUAGAAUUAAAAAUGUCGAGCAAAGCGAGACCAACUUGGUAGUAAAUGAAUACAAUUUUAAAAACAGAGGCAGCUCACUGGUAAGUGCUGCUAUUUGAGCUAUUUUUAGAACAGGCCAACGGGCGACUCAUCUGGUCCUUACGGGCUACCUGGUGCCCGCGGGCAACGCGUUGGUGACCCCUGCUUUACAUGAUGGCAUGUUAACAAAAAUAAAGACUUAAAGUGCUGUUUGCAAACUUUACACCGGGCCUUAAAUUAAGCGGUGUUUGCAUUAGAUCCCGCCUUCUUCCGGCUUUACCCUUAUUGUUUACACCUUUGGCCCCGCCCCUGAAUUAGCCUUGAUUGACGUCAGGUUAUCGCGCAUGCGCAUAUGCUAUCGCUAUCCGUCAAUGCCUCAAAUCAACGAGAGUCAUCUGGACCUGCAAGUCACUAUCAACUUCAAGUUCAAGUCUUACUUCUUUUGAAACGUGUUUCCUUCUAAAAAUGGACAGAAGGAGAGUGGACACCAUCUCUGCCCGCGUGGACGCUGUUGUCUCGUCUUCAGUGCCUGGCUGGUAAUUGGUUCCUAGUCGGUCCCAAAGCACAGCGUCCACAACCUCAAGAAUUGGGUCGAUAAACCACACGAAGAACAAAAUGAGGUCACAUGGAGAAGAGCUUUUUACCAUAGCGCUGGGUACUCGUUAUGACUGCUGACUUUAAUGUGCUUACAGUAUGGAUGUCUGCUUUGUCGGUC